This 65-nucleotide transfer RNA is filed under the name Zerynthia polyxena. RNAcentral's name for it is "tRNA-Glu". The record is from RNAcentral. Lineage: Eukaryota; Metazoa; Arthropoda; Insecta; Lepidoptera; Papilionidae.
AUUUAUAUAGUUUAUUUAAAACAUUACAUUUUCAUUGUAAAAAUAAAAUUAUAUUUUUAUAAAUU